Molecule: long non-coding RNA, 1278 nt
Organism: Pan troglodytes (chimpanzee)
Lineage: Eukaryota; Metazoa; Chordata; Mammalia; Primates; Hominidae
Source: Ensembl
UGACUUAAAAGUUAAUAUGAUAUUUCAGGGCAGGGCAGACAACACCUGCCUAGGAAGAUGGAGAGAGGAAGGAAAGGACUUCUCUUCCCUGAAUAUGCCAGAAAUAUAAAGCAAGGAGUGGAAUGAAAACAUCAAGGGGCAGCUCCUUGAAAGAGUUCAGUGAAUCAUCUUGUGGGGAAGAUAAGAAAUGUUUUGAAAUAUGUCUGAAAAGGGAAGAGGGCAUUCCAGAUACAGGAGACAUCAGAGAUAACUAUUGUCAACAGUUCCAGUUUGAUGUCUAGUGAGACAGAUAGAGAGAGAUAUGCCAAGAUAGUAAAUCACGGCAUUUCUGUAUGUCUGACUAUGGAAUAUUCUUCAGAAAUCACUGAGACCAUUUAUUUUAUAUUGGAAUUUCAUCUUGAUCUAAGAUCCAUCAACUUCAGUAGGUAAGUUGGUUUUGGUGAACUUCCUAAGUCCUAGAGAUUCUGAAAGUGGUUUCUGUCAGUAAUAUAGCAAGUUGUCAAGAAAAGGUCCUUCUGGUAUAAUAUGCCAAAAAUCCGUGUUAAUAAGUUACUUUAAUAUAAUUACUCAAUUUGAUUAGCUGAAUUAUGCAAAAGCACAUCAGUGUUCCACAGGGGCUUGCAGCAGAGCUCUGAAGGACUCCUGUUCUCCUUUGCCUUGCCCUCUCCAAUGCCUUCUGCCCCAUCCAGCCCUUCAAUGCCAUGUUCCCUCCCUGAGAGUGAGAGAAGCUCUUAGAAACAUAGGCUCAGGGAAGACAGACCCUAGUUCAGGGAGGUUUCUGCUCUGAAUUUCAAAGGACUGGGUAGGGUUAAUCCAGCCAAAACCUAGGUUAAUAUUCAUAGAAAUUAAAGAGAAAGGGCUUUACUUCCUCAGGGACUAGAAGAGGUCAGGAGAGAAACUAGGUUAAAUAGGAAGGCUAGUGUGUUUGUGGAUACAGAGAAAGAGAGAGAGAGAUGGAGAAUAGGGAGGAGGAGGAGGGCUGAAGGAGAAGAAACAAGAAGAGACAAGAAGGGAAAAUUGACCUUUUACAAAACAUGUUGAGGUUAAGUGUAUGUAUGAAUAGAGAAAUGUACAGAUGUUAAGCGUAGAAUGAGAUGAGGUUUGACACAUGUACUUAUCCAUGUAAACAAUACCUAAUAAAGACAUAGACCACCUUCCUUUGCCUCAGACAGUUCCUUCAUGCCCCCUUGUACUCAAUAUGCCAAUUCCACCCUCCUGAUCUCGCAGCUAUGGGGAUUUCCAUUAGUAUACAUUCAUUUGGACAUUCUUGAGCUUCAU